RNAcentral lists this ribosomal RNA (253 nucleotides) under uncultured bacterium. RNAcentral describes it as "partial 16S ribosomal RNA". It matches the Rfam family "Bacterial small subunit ribosomal RNA", at positions 524 to 776 of the family's 1533-position model. The record is from RNAcentral.
UACGUAGGGUGCAAGCGUUGUCCGGAAUUAUUGGGCGUAAAGAGCUCGUAGGCGGUCUGUCGCGUCGAAUGUGAAAACCCGGGGCUCAACCCCGGGCCUGCAUUCGAUACGGGCAGACUAGAGUUCGGUAGGGGAGUCUGGAAUUCCGGGUGUAGCGGUGGAAUGCGUAGAGAUCCGGAAGAACACCGGUGGCGAAGGCGGUCUGCUGGGCAGUUGCUGACGCUGAUGCGCGACAGCGUGGGGAGCAAACAGG